This 301-nucleotide ribosomal RNA is filed under the name uncultured bacterium. RNAcentral describes it as "partial 16S ribosomal RNA". It matches the Rfam family "Bacterial small subunit ribosomal RNA", at positions 509 to 807 of the family's 1533-position model. The record is from RNAcentral.
CAGUAGCCGCGGUAAUACAGAGGGUGCGAGCGUUAAUCGGAAUUACUGGGCGUAAAGCGCGCGUAGGUGGUUUGUUAAGUUGGAUGUGAAAUCCCCGGGCUCAACCUGGGAACUGCAUCCAAAACUGGCAAGCUAGAGUAUGGUAGAGGGUGGUGGAAUUUCCUGUGUAGCGGUGAAAUGCGUAGAUAUAGGAAGGAACACCAGUGGCGAAGGCGACCACCUGGACUGAUACUGACACUGAGGUGCGAAAGCGUGGGGAGCAAACAGGAUUAGAUACCCCAGUAGUCCCUGUCUCUUAUAC